This 207-nucleotide ribosomal RNA is filed under the name uncultured bacterium. RNAcentral describes it as "partial 16S ribosomal RNA". It matches the Rfam family "Bacterial small subunit ribosomal RNA", at positions 568 to 774 of the family's 1533-position model. The record is from RNAcentral.
CACGUAGGCGGACCGCUAAGUCGGAUGUGAAAGCCCUCGGCUUAACCGAGGAAGUGCAUUCGAAACUGACAGUCUUGAGUAUGGAAGAGGGUCGCGGAAUUCCCGGUGUAGAGGUGAAAUUCGUAGAUAUCGGGAGGAACACCAGUGGCGAAGGCGGCGACCUGGGCCAAUACUGACGCUGAGGUGCGAAAGCGUGGGGAGCAAACA